UGUCUCAGUGUUUGUUUCCCAGGCAACCUGAUGUAAGAAGUGAUGAAAGUCAAACAAACAACCGUAAAUCUGUACAAUGAAACGUAUGACAGGAAAGCAACAGUGCCACUGAGCGCAGUAAGAGCAUUCAACCCAGACCUGAUGGGUUGUGAAGAUGCAAAGAGAAGGGUCAGGGCAUUACCUCCUCAGGAGUAGAUACUCACCUAUGGGCCACACCAGGCAACAAUUUAAUCUUCACCCUCAGUCAUUGCUUCUGACUUGUGGAGUGCAAACAUCUAUUUCACACGGGGUAUUAAGGAUGGCAACGCUGUUUUUAAGGACACGGAUUACUAACUGCCUUUGAAUAUAGUUCAGAAACUCUGAAGAUUCUGGUCUACUAAGAGAUACUGUUCUCAGACACAAAAACUGCUUUAUGAUCUCCAUUUUACAACCAUGAAAAUCAGAGGCAGAGUGAUUAACAAAAUCCUCAGAAUCUGAGAAUGGAAGAGUCAGAAUUUUACACCACAUCUAACACCAAGAGCAGCAUCUUGAUGACUUUUCAUUUCAAGCCAAGGAGCUUGGACUUCAUUCUUUAAGAAACAAGGAGCCAUUGCAGAUUUUUGAGCAGACUCCCACAUUCUCUCAUCAGCAUUUGUGUCCCUUUAUCAUCUUGACUAACUUAAUUAUGGUAGCAUCAAGAUGUCCUUUCAGAAUCCCCUCUCAAAAUAAGAUGUGAACAUUUUAACCUCCCAAAUGGAAAUACUUGGAAGGUUUAGAAGAAAGAGAAAGACCUUUCCAUUCAUACCCUUUCCACUGAAAUCACAAC
This 805-nucleotide long non-coding RNA is filed under the name Equus caballus (horse). RNAcentral's name for it is "lncRNA (ENSECAG00000054090.1)". Lineage: Eukaryota; Metazoa; Chordata; Mammalia; Perissodactyla; Equidae. The record is from RNAcentral.